GUCAGCACCCCGCUCUGAAGAGACGGGGCUUCAAGCCUCUAACUUUAGAUAGCUGACCAGCCUGAGCCUAACGGCUACGUUAUCGGUAAGUGUUAAAGACCCACCAAUGGAUGCGAAGCUAGUCCGUUGCUCUGGA
Molecule: small RNA, 136 nt
Filed under: Planktothrix agardhii
Lineage: Bacteria; Bacillati; Cyanobacteriota; Cyanophyceae; Oscillatoriales; Microcoleaceae
Description: HEARO
Rfam family: HNH endonuclease-associated RNA and ORF (HEARO) RNA
Source: RNAcentral